AGGGUUAGGGUUGGAGCUAGGGUUAGGGUUAGGGUUAGGGUUGGAACUAGGGUUAGGGCUAGGGUUAGGGUUGGAGCUAGGGUUAGGGUUAGGGUUAGGGUUGGAGUUAGGGUUAGGGUUAGGGUUGGAGUUAGGGUUGGAGCUAGGGUUAGGGUUGGAGCUAGGGUUAGGGUUAGGGUUAGGGUUAGGGUUGGAGUUGGAGUUAGGGUUGGAGCUAGGGUUAGGGUUAGGGUUAGGGUUGGAGCUAGGGUUAGGGUUAGGGUUAGGGUUGGAGUUAGGGUUGGAGCUAGGGUUUGGGUUAGGGUUAGGGUUGGAGCUAGGGUUAGAGUUAGGGUUGGAGUUAGGGUUGGAGUUAGGGUUGGAGCUAGGGUUAGGGUUGGAGUUAGGGUUGGGGUUAGGGUUAGGGUUGGAGUUAGGGUUGGAGCUAGGGUUAGGGUUAGGGUUGGCGCUAGGGUUAGGGUUAGGGUUAGUGUUGGAGUUAGGGUUGCAGCUAGGGUUAGGGUUAGGGUUAGGGUUGGAGCUAGGGUUAGGGUUAGGGUUGGAGUUAGGGUUAGGGUUAGGGUUAGGGUUUGAGUUAGGGUUAGGGUUGGAGCUAGGGUUAGGGUAAGGGUUAGGGUUGGAGCUAGGGUUAGGGUUAGGGUUAGGGUUUGAGCUAGGGUUAGGGUUAGGGUUGGAGUUAGGGUUAGGGUUGGAGUUAGGGUUGCAGCUAGGGUUAGGGUUAGGGUUAGGGUUGGAGCCAGGAUUAAGGUUAGGGUUAGGGUUGGAGUUAGGGUUAGGGUUAGGGUUGGAGCUAGGGUUAGGGUUAGGGUUUGAGUUAGGGUUGCAGCUAGGGUUAGGGUUAGGGUUAGGGUUGGAGUUAGGGUUAGGGUUAGGGUUGGAGCUAGGGUUAGGGUUAAGGUUUUUGGUUGGAGCUAGAGUUAGGGUUAGGGUUGGAGUUAGGGUUAGGGUUAGGAUAUAGGGGUAUGUGCCACUUUUGACAUGCCGGUUCAUUGCCUUUCCCAUUGAUGAACCGGGCUGAGAUUUGGUCUACCCCCCCCAUUUUCGGGUAUGCUGAAUCUAGAAAUAGUAAUGAACCAGCGAUCGGACAUUCCUAUCAAAAGUUAUUGCGAAGUGAAAAUUUCCCAUUGAAAAUGAAUGGGAGCGGAAAAAUGGCCAAAGUCAGUGUUUGCAAGUGUUGUACUUGUCUGGAAAUGUUGAAAAUGCAUUGUGAGCACGUUUCAGGCCAUUUCCUGUCAUUUGAGGGCGACUUUGCAAAAAGGGGUGUCAUACCGCAUUUGACCAGAGGUGGCGCUGAAACCAGUUCGAGGGUUAGGGUUAGGGUGAGACUUAGGGCUAGGGGUUAGGGUUAGGGCUGGAGCUAUGGUUAGGGUUAGGGUUAGGGUUAAGGUUGGAACUAGGGUUAGGGUUAAGGUUAGGGUUUGAAAAAUCUUCCACCCCCAACAUGCAAGUUUCAGCGCUCUACGACCUACAAAAUGCAUAUAGCUAUCCCUAACCCUAACCCUAACUCCAACCCUAACCCUAACCCUAGCUCCAACCCUAACCCUAACCCUAACCCUAGCUGCAACCCUAACUCCAACCCUAACCCUAACCCUAACCCUAGCUCCAACCCUUACCCUAACCCUAGCUCCAACCCUAACUCCAACCCUUACCCUAACCCUAACCCUCGCUCCAACCCUAACUCCAACCCUAACCCUAACCCUAACCCUAGCUCCAACCCAAACCCAAACCCUAACCCUAGCUCCAACCCUAACUCCAACCCUAACCCUAACGCUAACUCCAACCCUUACCCUAACCCUAACUCCAACACUAACCCUAACCCCAACCCUUGCUCCAACCCUAACCCUAACCCUAAACAUAGCUCCAACCCUAACCCUAACCCUAGCUCAAACCCUAACUCCAACCCUAGCUCCAACCCUAACUCCAACCCUAACCCUAACCCUAACCCUAGCUCCAACCCUAACCCUAACCCUAACCCUAGAUGCAACCCUAACUCUAACCCUAUCCCUAACACUAACCCUAUCUCCUACCCUAACCCUAACCCUAGCUCCAACCCUAACCCUAACCCUAGCUGCAACCCUAACUCCAACCCUAACCCUUACCCUAACCCUAGCUCCAACCCUAACCCUAACCCUAACUCCAACCCUAACCCUAACCCUAACCCUAGCUCCAACCCUAACCCUAACCCUAGCUCAACCCUAACCCUAACCCUAACCCUAGCUGUAACCCUAACCCUAACCCUAACCCUUGCUCCAACCCUAAACCUAACCCUAACCCUAGCUGCAACCCUAACUCCAACCUUAACCCUAACCCUAACCCUAGCUCCAACCCUAACCCUAACCCUAACCCUAGCUCCCACCCUAACUCCAACCCUAACCCUAACCCUAACCCUAGCUCCAACCCUAUCCCUAACCCUAACCCUUGCUCCAACCCUAACCCUAACCCUAACCCUAGCUGCAACCCUAACUCCAACUCUAACCCUAACCCUAACUCCAACCCUAACCCUAACCCUAACCCUAGCUCCAACCCUUACUCCAACCCUAACCCUAACCCUAGCUCCAACACUAACCCUUACCCUAACCCUAGCUCCAACCCUAACCCUAACUCCAACCCUAACCCUAACCCUAACCCUAACUCCAACCCUAACCCUUACUUUAACUCCAACCCUAACCCUAACCCUAACCCUAGCUCCAACCCUAACCCUAACCCUAGCUCAACCCUAACCCUAACCCUAACCCUAGCUGCAACCAUAACUCCAACCAUAACCCUAACCCUAACCCUAACUCCAACCCUAACCCUAACCCUAACCCUAGCUCCAACCCUAACCCUAACCCUAACCCUAGCUGCAACCCUAACUCCAACCCUAACCCUAACCCUAACCCUAGCUCCAACCCUAACCCUAACUCCAACCCUAACCCUAACUCCAACCCUAACCCUAACCCUAGCUCCAACCCUAACCCUAACCCUAACCCUAGCUGCAACCCUAACCCCCACACUAACCCUAACCCUAACCCUAGCUCCAACCCUAACCCUAACCCUAGCUCCAACCCUGACUCCAACCCUAACCCUAAUCCUAACCCUGGCUCCAACCCUAACCCUAGCUCCAACCCUAACUCCAA
Molecule: long non-coding RNA, 3116 nt
Filed under: Xyrichtys novacula (pearly razorfish)
Lineage: Eukaryota; Metazoa; Chordata; Actinopteri; Labriformes; Labridae
Source: RNAcentral